CUUCAUAGCCAUUUGAAAGAGGACUACAUGCCCGACUGUUGCGCUUGAUGAAAAAAUGGAUAAAUCUCUUUAGUUAAGAUACAGUUUAUCGUAUUAGAGCCUUAAGUCAACUAAGCAGACCAUGGUUCAUGCACGAUGAGCAUGCUAUGCAACUGGCUCAUCAUUUCAGUUUCCAAGAGAUUAUUAAUCUUAUUCAUAUCCCAGCCUCAGUGAGAGGAUAAUAGAUCACUAACCCAA
Molecule: long non-coding RNA, 237 nt
Filed under: Elaeis guineensis (African oil palm)
Lineage: Eukaryota; Viridiplantae; Streptophyta; Magnoliopsida; Arecales; Arecaceae
Description: long non-coding RNA (EGUI_LNC003434)
Source: RNAcentral